RNAcentral lists this transfer RNA (85 nucleotides) under Planctomycetales bacterium 4572_13. RNAcentral describes it as "tRNA-Ser". It matches the Rfam family "tRNA". Rfam says of the family: Transfer RNA (tRNA) molecules are approximately 80 nucleotides in length. Their secondary structure includes four short double-helical elements and three loops (D, anti-codon, and T loops). Lineage: Bacteria; Pseudomonadati; Planctomycetota; Planctomycetia; Planctomycetales. The record is from RNAcentral. RNAcentral also lists the same sequence under 3 other names.
GGAGGAGUGUCCGAGCGGCUUAUGGUGACGGUCUUGAAAACCGUUGUGCAGCGAUGUACCGGGGGUUCGAAUCCCUCCUCCUCCG